Symsagittifera roscoffensis is the source of this 488-nucleotide long non-coding RNA. RefSeq lists it as uncharacterized. The record is from RefSeq and is a predicted model, not a curated record. The transcript has 3 exons. Lineage: Eukaryota; Metazoa; Xenacoelomorpha; Acoela; Convolutidae.
UUGUACAUAGUAACGAGUCCCCCUCACCCUUUUUAACAAUAUGGGGAAAAGUUAAAGAGAUCGUGAAGUAUUAUAGUUUUCACUCAAAAGCUAUUUCAAAAAACUUUCGAGGAUGAGGUCUGCAGCUGAAUUUCUCGCUACAAUUGGAGUCGCCCUGAUGUGUCUGCUGGUAACAACAUCAGAAGGGCAACCUUUAAUGGGAGAUUGGGGUUAUGUGCGACCGAUUUCUCAAGAGUUCCAAGACAAUAUGUUGUCGGACAACAACUACGCAGAUCUGGCUGACAUUCUUCUCGACUUGGGAUGUGACUUCCAAACUGUUUUCGUACAGAGUAUAGCAUUUAAUUUUGCUGAUAAUUCUGACGAGGCAGUGCUUGAAGCGAAGUGCGGCUCUCAGCACAAAUGGAUAUAUGGGACGAGUCUUCUUAAGGACGUUGAGAGUGUUUUCUCAGAUGAUCCCAUUGUCUAAGGAUUUCUGCGCAACCAUUGCA